UUUCUCUUAGCUUAAGUUUAAAGCGUUAGUUUGAAGCACUAGAGAUAAUUUUAUUAGGGAGAC
This 63-nucleotide transfer RNA is filed under the name Hymenolepis diminuta. RNAcentral's name for it is "tRNA-Phe". The record is from RNAcentral. Lineage: Eukaryota; Metazoa; Platyhelminthes; Cestoda; Cyclophyllidea; Hymenolepididae.